GCAGCCGGGCGGCUCGUCGCUGACACCCUCAGGGUGUUUGAGGAAAGUCCGGGCAACACAGAGCACCAUAUUUCUUAACGGGAAGCUAUCGGCGACGGUAGAGAAGUGUGACAGAAAAUAACCGCCCUCCGUCCGCGGAGGGUAAGGGUGAAAAGGCGGGGUAAGAGCCCACCGGACCGCACAGCGAUAUGCGGUGCCGCACGCCUUAUGGGUUGCAAGGUCAAGUAUACCGGCAUUUAAGGGUUGCUCGCCCAUUGCCGGGGGGUAGACUGCUAUAGAGUGUCGGCAACGGCACUCACAGAUAAAUGACGGGCAGGCAACGUAACUCCCUCCCAGUGCGGGAAAGUGCGAGGCUUACAUAACCCGGCUUACAGCCCGACUGCUUUU
This 387-nucleotide RNase P RNA is filed under the name Muribaculaceae bacterium. Its description in RNAcentral is "RNase P RNA component class A". It matches the Rfam family "Bacterial RNase P class A". From Rfam's summary of the family: Ribonuclease P (RNase P) is a ubiquitous endoribonuclease, found in archaea, bacteria and eukarya as well as chloroplasts and mitochondria. Its best characterised activity is the generation of mature 5'-ends of tRNAs by cleaving the 5'-leader elements of precursor-tRNAs. Lineage: Bacteria; Pseudomonadati; Bacteroidota; Bacteroidia; Bacteroidales; Muribaculaceae. The record is from RNAcentral.